AUUACUUAAGACCAAUGUAGAUGCUAGAAUCUAUUUCUGGUAACGCGUUAAACUCAUAUAUCUCUAUUAUUGCCAUUGAGGUGUGAUUUAACCGGAAACCUGGAUUGACAACUAUAUAUUAUAAUCCUAACUCUGUUGCAAACUUAUAUUAUAUUCAUCCAAUCCAAUGAUGGUAUUCAAUUCAAUCAAAAAAAUAAUAAAAAAAUGAUGGUAUUCAAUUCAAUCAAAUUCCCAAAGAAACAAGAUACAAGUUGAAUUAUUGAUAUUGCACGACACCAGUGACAAUCAUAUAGCAGUCCCCACACUCAUCAGAUCAAAGCCAAAACCACAAAACAAUAACAUCAUUAUCGAAUGUUCCCUAUCGAUCCUAAAUCAAUAAUCUCCUCUUUUUUUUUUUUUUUUUUUUUUUCUCGACAUCAAUAAUCUCCUCUGAGAUAUUUUUUUUCUUCUUCUUAUAAAUCAAUAAUCAUAAGCCUGUCUUAAAAAUAUUAAUUACUUGAUCGAGUUAACAAGAAGAGAUUACUUGGAAUCAAAGGACUAGAAAUAUGUAACCAACAAAAAUUCAGAAAAC
This 571-nucleotide long non-coding RNA is filed under the name Capsella rubella. RNAcentral describes it as "long non-coding RNA (CRUB_LNC003392)". Lineage: Eukaryota; Viridiplantae; Streptophyta; Magnoliopsida; Brassicales; Brassicaceae. The record is from RNAcentral.